Motacilla alba alba is the source of this 12182-nucleotide RNA transcript. The record is from RefSeq and is a predicted model, not a curated record. NCBI's taxonomy places the organism in Eukaryota, Metazoa, Chordata, Aves, Passeriformes, Motacillidae.
GAAUGGCGGGCAGCGGCCGGGAAUGGCGGGCAGCGGCCGGGAGCGGCGGCUUUUCCCGUGCCCUCGUCCCCUCAGCGGCCGCCCCGGGCUGAGGCGGCGGAGCGGGAGCGGGGCUGGGGCCGCCCGGGCGCCUCGGGGAGGCUUCAGCUCCUCCUGUUUAUUUCGAAAUGUUUUCUUGUGUCUGAACUGUCCCCCAUCCCCCUUUUUUCCUCUUUCUGAUGGAAAUAAGUGCCAGUGUGCCCUCGUUCCGAAUAGUUGUUAAAAAUAGCCCAUCAAACUGGAGUAAACCACCGUCUCCGGUGUCUGCAGACAGAAGUGAACUGACAAAUUUUGGCAUUUUUAGUUCCAAACAAGAUGAAGAUCCCCUCUUUGCUGCUGAGAUUCCCUCGUUGUUAUUUCUCCAGAAGAACUUACUUCAUGAACUUUCGCUUCGCUUCCCGGGCAGAUUUCCUGGGUGUUGAGUCUCUUGGGCCAGCACACGGCUGUCAUACAAAAUGGAUUUGUUCAUCAGAUGCUUUGAGGAGAGAGCUGUGCCAGCAAGCAGCCCCUGAGCAGCAAGCAGAGGCACUUUCUGACCGGGAGCAGAGACUUGUAGACAGACUUUACCAUGGGCUCAUCCAGGGGCACAGAGCCUGUUUAGCCGAAGCCAUUACACUCAUAGAAUCAACUCAGAGUAGGAAGAAGAAAGUAGCCCAGGUGCUCCUUCAGAAGGUGUUAUCCUACCACAGGGAGCAAGAAAAGUUGAAUCAAGGAAAGCCGCUUGCCUUCAGAGUGGGCUUGUCUGGUCCUCCUGGUGCUGGAAAGUCGACCUUCAUAGAAUGCUUUGGGAAGAUGCUUAUGGAAAGAAACCACAAAGUGUCUGUGUUGGCUGUAGACCCUUCCUCUAGUACCAGUGGUGGUUCCCUACUGGGUGAUAAAACACGGAUGACUGAGUUGUCAAGAGACAUGAAUGCAUACAUCAGACCAUCUCCAACCAGUGGGACACUGGGAGGUGUCACAAGGACCACAAAUGAAGCCAUUCUGCUCUGUGAAGGAGGAGGCUACGAUGUUGUUCUUGUGGAAACAGUAGGUGUGGGCCAGUCAGAAUUUGCUGUGGCUGAUAUGGUUGAUAUGUUUAUAUUACUGCUACCACCUGCGGGUGGAGAUGAAUUACAGGGCAUCAAACGGGGCAUCAUUGAGAUGGCAGACCUGGUUGCUAUCAAUAAGGCCGAUGGUGAUUUAGUUGUGCCAGCCCGGAGGAUCCAGGCUGAGUACAUCAGUGCCAUGAAGCUGCUUCGCAAGCGUUCAAAGGUGUGGAGACCAAAGGUCAUGCGCAUCUCCGCCAAAACCGGGGAGGGCAUCUCGGAUAUGUGGGAUAAAAUGACCGAGUUCCGCGACCUCAUGCUCACGAGCGGCGAGCUGCUUGCCAAACGACGGAAACAGCAGAAAGUGUGGAUGUGGAACCUCAUCCAGGAAAACAUGCUGCAGCAUUUCCGGAGUCACCUGGCAGUCAAGGAUAAGAUCCCACUUCUGGAAGAAAAAGUUCUUACAGGAGUCUUGUCUCCUGGGCUGGCAGCAGACCUGCUGCUGAAGGCAUUCAAAGAUGGUCUCUAAGCAUUGUUUUCUACUCUGUUCUUGAUGAGUGCUUUAUGUAAACAUGAACAUUAAAUACACUUUUUCUAUUUGUGGAUUCAGAUGUUUUGCUGCAGCAGAAAUGAAUAGAAAACCUAUCCAGUACUCUGCAGAAGAAUUCUGUUGGAUUCUGUAUAUGCAGUGAUCAUGACAAAUCUAAACAUUCACUAAGAGAUUACUACACCCUAUUGGAAAAAAAUAAAUUUCCAAAUCUCCUGUUUCUGCAUGCCAUAGAUCUGUUAAUAAAAACUGGAUGCCCAUGUUAAAAUGAUUAGGUCUGGGGAGGGCAGGAGAGCGAGGUUUGUGGUGGUGCAGGGUUUGAUUCUGGUUGUGGGGUCAUCUCAGAGCAGUUGACACUGCAGCUUUCCAUUCUAAUAUAGCAGCAGCUGUUGCCAGAACGGAUUGCAUUUUCUUUCCUCACCUUGAGUGACAGCAAGAACAUUGCACUGCCUGACAGCACCAGACCACAGCCUUAGUUUUAAAUAAAUUGUAUGCAUAUAAAUAGAACAUAGUGGUGUUUGGUCCCUCUUUGGAAGCUGUAGUUAGUUAUUACACACUGUAUAGUAGGAGAAAGGCAUUUUAACCAUCCGGUUUCAAAAUAGAUGUUUUAUUAAAAAGCAAAAUGUAGUUAGACUUUUUUUUUACAUGCAGACAUCAGAUUGGAUAAAUGUUACCCAUGAUGUUUUAAUAGCAGAUGUCUUUAUACUAGAAUAACUUGUCUCUAAAAAUAAUGUUUUGUGGUUUUCUGAUCUGACUUACAUUUUUUGGAUUCAAACAAAAUGGCCAGUUGUGUUUGGUAUUUUUUUCUUUAUCUCUUGCAGAAGACAGGACUGCUUCCAACCGAAAGCGCUUUUAUUUUCUACUUUCCCUUGAGAAAAAUCUGGAGGAAACAUUUUCCUGAUACAUAGUCUAGAAGACAGAGCUCAUCUGGUACCCACUAAAUGUGAAGGAUAAAGUGGAAAAGUGCUGAUUUUUGGAGAUCUGACAGUAAAACCAGUAAAAUAGGAGAAUUUUUGAGAUAAAUUAAUUUUAGAUUUUAGAUAAAUUAAUUUAAAAAGAAUUAUAUUGCAAGUGAUAAUUUUCACAGUUUUGAUUUUCUGGACAUGUAUGUAAAAGGUAUGGUAACUUCAGCUCAGUUUCACCUGUUUGGCUUCUGGCAACCUAAUUCCAGUAUAGCAGUGAAUUGGGUUACUUAAAUCCUCUUCUUACCUUCAUGGUGUUUGUUUUUGUUCAGGAUUUUUUUUCCCCUCAAAAUAUUUUUUCCUCUUCAUUCCCCUUGUCCCAGUUGUUAUAUUGCGAUCCCGGCUUUUGCCCGCCGGGCGCUGUUUGCAGUGAAACACUAAGGAGGGGCAUUGUGCCAUACAGCUGAGGUGUUUCUUUGGUAAGAAAGUUUGCACUGGGGUAGCUGGUUUGAGUGGUGUCCACAACCUAAAUUGUCAGAACAUCUGAGCUCUGACCGCUUACUCCUGUUUCUUAAUUGCUGCUUUGGGGUUGCUGCAGUCAGUUACAAAGAGGCAGCUGAAAGACUGUAUGGAGUGGCAGAAGCACAGUGACUUUAUGACCAUGCUGAAUUGUGGGAGAAAUGCAGUGCUUACAGUUUCUUUUUUAUUUAAACAACCUCUAUUGAAUAUGACAGAGAGUGCCAUGAACCAAGAGCAACGUCAUGUGUCCUUUGAGUCCUUUCAGCUUUAAGUACUGACUGUAUUUUAUGGUACCUCGUAGAAGAAAUGACAGUCAGGUGGGGAACAAAUUAAUGAGAGCAGCAGCUUUUUAACCAGUGAGUUCUCAGUUUUUUGAUAGUCCCUUUGUUUCAGGUGGCAGCUUUUGAGGUGACCUCAUUUGUGUUUAUCUGUUAGAUCAAACCCUUAUUAUGGUCAUUGCUUCUUCUGUCAGGACUGCUGUUUUCCUUGUCUGUUAUACAUGAGCUGCCAAGCAAGUAAAACAGAACCUGCAGCUUUGUUUAAAUGACACCUGCUCAAGCAGAAUAUGUUUUACAGCUCCUUCAGUAUUUCUUUCCUGGAUGCAGAUCUACUGAUCCACUCAAGCCGUGGGCUAUCAUUAUUUUCUCAUUUUGUUGCUUCUUUUAUAAUAUUGUUAAUUUAAAAAUGAACUCUUAGCAGAAGUACAAUGGCUUAAGCAGGUUCUUCAAACUGCAUUUUCCUUUUAAAGCAGAGCAUUAAAUGAAAAUCUGAUUUGCCUUCUUUAUGUGUUCAGUUAUGCCUCAUGCUUCAGUAGAUGGAGAAAUAUCCGUAUAUUGAAAGGAGACUUUGGAAAUGAAACAGUAAGUCAGGGUUCCUGUUUUGUUUUUCAGUGAUUCCCCUACCAAAUUGAAAAGCUGUCCUGUGCAAACUAUGAACUGAGCCUUCCAUGUGGUAGUGAAAUAGUUUGUUUUACAGCCUGUAAAAUUUUGCUGUGGUGUGUUUUGGAGUCAGCUGCUGCUCAGUUAAUUGUGCAGUUUUGUUCAUGUUCUUGAGGGCUUGGCAGAUGCAUUGUCUUCAGAAGGACUGCAGAGCUUCAGCUGGUCGGCUGCAACUCCAUAAACAAUCCACUAUGUCCCAAGAUAGGGAAGAAUGUUUCCAACUCAUCAUUUUUAGCUCUGUGGGAUUAACUUGGCUAAAAUGCAUUAAAAUAUUGUUAUUCAAGUAAACAGGCUUCUGAAAAAAGAUAGUAAACAAAUCUGUUGAGUAGGAUGUUGACAUAUUCUUAGUUUCUGGAGUUGUGAAGCUGCUGUCAUGUUAACACUUAAACCCACAGCUAUUGCAGAAUAGUAUGGGAAAAUGAUAUAACUUCAUGAGAAGCCAAUAGCAAGAGCAGGUUUGUAGCUGGCAGUAUGACAAACUGUUAGACAAAUGAGUUAGGGAGAUAAGGAAUAAACUGUUCAGGUACACAAAGUCAUUUUCUACAAAGUCUUGCAGUUGUCUGUAAGUCUGAAACUUCUCCCCAGGUCCCUGUGUAAUAGAUGUUGCUGGUGUUUCACAGCUGGCAAAAACAAGUGUGGUGAGAUCAAGUGAUUUACCCAGGACUCUGAAACAGGUCAUAGAGUAUAAGGGUCACAGUUCAAUAGUCUUUACUCUGAGCCCCACAUAUAUUUACAGCCACGUUACUUAAGGUUGAAAAAAUGCUCUUAGCAAGUUCAUGCUCUUAGUGUGACUUAUUCCUUUCAUAUCUAAUCUCUCUGUUUUCAGUGACAGGACCCAGUGACCCCUUCUUGACUACUGUUCUGUUGUAAUGUCCUGCUUUAAGUAAUAAAAAACUUUCCUUUGAUAUCUAAUCCGUCCUCCCUUCUGUAAAUGCAUUACUUCCUGUUGUGCAUGCUGCUUCAGCCUUUAUGUUCUCCUCACAUAUAUUUCUUAUUUGUGAAAUCUGCAGUGUGUUGGCUGUUUGAGAUUUUGGGCCAUGGGAGUUGAGUAAAGCUAGAGAAUAUAAAGGAACUUUUUUUUUUUUUUAACUGUAUGCAGUUCCCUUCCUAAAGUUUUCUUUUGUAAUGUGGCAAGAUUCAAUUACUGACUUGCUCUGUACUGGUACAAACACCCUUAUUUCCUUUUUAUUUUCCUUUCUCAGAGUGCUCUGUUGCUUCCCCUUGGAUGCUCAGUCAAAAAGUAACAUACUCCAUGAGUUAAAAUGAGAAAAACUUUUUCACAGAGUUUAGUGCUUCUGUAACUAUUGCUGCUGGACUGUUCUAAAACAUUUAUAAUUUGAUGAAAGAUUGAACAAAAGUUGGUAAAGAAUGUAUUUAAGGAAAUAUUAGUGUGUUCCCCUGAAAAGUUGGACAGUCAUCAGUGCACAGACUGCCUAGCAACAGGAUUCCUCUUCCAAAAACCUACUACUCCACAGUUCAGCUACUCCACAGUCAUACUCCUUAUAGUUUAUUUAAAAGUAGCCCACCCCCCUCAUAAUGGAACAUCAGCAGCAUUUGUAAAUUGAGAAUAAAAAUUGCAAAAUUAAGAACUCAGAAGCAAUUAGAGUCCAUACUUAGAAUGGAAGAAUGACAGACAUACUCUGUUCCCUGCUGUCAUACUAAGGUAUUGUUCAGCUGAUGAACAAGGAAGGAAAAGAGGGGCUGACAUUCCUGACAGUGCAUGGAGAAGGUACAUUAUGGAGCAGCAAGAGGAAUGCAUAUUUUUCUGUAUUUUUCCUCCCAUGGGAGCAUAUGAAUUACCUUGGAUAAUUCACUGUGAAGCCCCAGAAACUGAUGUGACUGACAGUGUUUGCUGUGUGAGGCUUACAAAAUUAUAAAUUCAACUCCUGUUCCUAUGUUUUGGAUUUGUGUGUUGCAUGGGACCAUGCGAUGCUUGUCCUUUGGCAAUAGGUGGGUUUGUUUGCAAUUUUGCUUGAAGUGGGGAAUAGUUAGUUCUUGUAGUUUGAGUAAAAGAUUGUUUACUUGUAACGACUUAAAAGCUUCACCUUUCAGAAUGCAUGAUAAGAUUGCUGUACUCUUCCUUAAAAUACUGUAGCAAAGUGAGUUCCGGCUCUGUGUCACUAUGUCUUCAUUUCCUCUUACAUCUCUUCCACUGUUAGAGUAGCCUAUAAAAGCUUUAGUUAUGCACCUUUUAACAUGACUCAAAUAUUCAUGAAGUUAAUCAGGGGCUGACCACAUUUCUUUGUUUCUUCAAUUGAAAGUGACCACUACAACCUAAAGAUUGCAACCCAUGAGAAGCCAAAGGCUAUGACAGCUUCAGAGGCCUGGGCUGACCUGCCCUGUGCAGGCUGCAAUGGCUGGGGAUGCCGGUGUGUGUCUAAUGAGAAGUUGCUGCAUGAGCUGCGUGGCUGGGAGCAGUGCACACUCACACUGCUAAAGGUUUUCUCCCGGCCCUGAAUCUGUGAUCCUGUUUGUAGUUCUCUAAUUGCAACCAGCAGAAGACAAGGGUGAUGUUGGUUUUUAUGACUUGUUGCUUAGCAGCGUUGAUCAACAAAAGCACAACCUUUUCUUUUGCUGUAACCUCGGUGAACCCGGGCCUGGACGGAGCUCACCAGCGGGGAACAAGGGUUUCUGAAGCCGUGUGAAACUCCCGUGCUGUGCCUUGUUAGCAGUGUCUGAGAGAAAGCAUCUCUUCUUGACCUCUUGGUUACCUUUGCCCUUUACUCCUCUAUCUCUCUCUCUCAUCAAAUCUUACAAGAAAGCAGGCACCGUCCUAGGAGGAUUUGGAGGAUGGGAAAUACAGGGACGAGUCAACUAUACUAAGAUGUAUCCUGCCUCUUUUCAGGAAAAGGAGAUAAGCUGGUUCCCAGACUGUGAUGUCAGACCCUCCUCUCAAGGAAGGAGAAAGACUUCAGCUGUCACAGUAAGGUCUAUUCUUAUUUAGAGAAGCUUUCUUUUCGAAGCAGGCAAAAUAAUCCAUAGAGGAAAUGGAAAUUAGGGUGGCUAAGAAUUUCUUGGUUUACGUCUUUUAGAAGGGAUUUCACAAACUGAACCAGAAGUGGUAUUGAACAUGGUUGAAAAUGAUUGAGGGUGUGCCUUUAUCUGAUCACAUCUGGCAAAGCCUGUAAAAUAAGAGCAAGGAGUAAGUUGCUUGUUUCACCUUAACUCUAAACUGUAAAUUGAUAGUCUGGCCAAAGGCUCUUUAGUGACACCAGAAGCUGCAACAUUUAAUGUGCCUUACCACAUCAGAAAGCUUAGAUCAGGAGCUUUACUGUUGCUCAGAUGCUUGUCUUUUACACCUCGAUCUGAGUAAGAAAUAGCUGAGUAUUUGUAUACUUUUUCUGCCAGAAAUAUUGUUAUCCUGAGCCACCUUUAUGCUCAUGGACACUAGGUCACUGUACCUUGCCAGUGUGGUGGUUUUCUCCUUUCUACCCUGUCCCCCCCACCACUGACUUCUCCCCUCUAUUCAUUGUUGUUUUUUCAGAGCACUACAGGUCAAUGUGUUAAAAGGUCACCGUGUGUUUCACAAGCCUGUUAUGCUCUGGUGUCCCUCCUCAUCUGAAGUUUAAAGAGAAGCUCUGCUGUUCAGCUAUCCCAAUCUUGGUAAAAUUCAUGGAGAGGACCUAUAUUGCUGAAACUGCUUAACUGAGAUCAGAUAGAUGAGCUGUUCAUUCCAGAACAGGCAGCUGCAUAAGAAACUGGCUCUGCCCUACGUGCCAUGUAAAAAGCAUGGCAAGUGCGUGGUAUCUGGCAGAGCUCAAUCAAGUAAAAUAAUCAGCAAAUAGUAAUGGGAAUUACGUUGCAAAUAUUGUUCUUUUUUAUUUAUAUUGCACCAAUCUUAACAAAAUUAUCUACCUGGAAAUCCUGACUGCUGUCUGAGGCUGAGAAGAAUGACUUUUCAUGCCCUUGCUUGAUGAACAGAGCAAAUUGUGUUCACCCAAACAGGAUUUCUUUAUUUUGAGCUGUGAGUAUGAUUUGUCUGUCUUCACUGAACAACAGCUGCUAAAAUCUGAUAUCUGCGGGACUCAAAACAAGAGGCUGAAAUAAUGUUCUUAACUUCUGAUUUACAGGAGAAGUGGGGAACUCUGGUUAAGAUCAAUAAGCUUUUAGAAACAGUUUCAGGAAAAGUGAAAAAACCCCUUUUUUAUGAGUGGUAUGAUGCAGCAUUUGUAACCUGACUGGUUCUUUCUGUGUGCAGUGGCAAUAGGAACUGAUUAGAUUAGAAAACUAAUGUUUCAGACUUCAAAUAUUGUUGUCCUUCACUUUUCCUUUUCACUAUCCAUUAGAACGUGACAUUCUUAGAAAUGAAGGAGUCUUCAGUGUGGGCCUCUUUAAUACUGUCAUUUCCACACCUGCAACAAUGGAGCAGAGCAUGGCUACUGUACAGCACCAGUAGGACUAAAAGCCACCGAGUGCUUUAUUUCUGUACUGACAUUAAAGAGUUAUUUUGAAUUAUGAUGUGUUGAAAGUCCCAGUUUCAUGUCUUGCACAUUGCACGUGGCUUUCAGUUUAGCUGGAGACGCUGCUCCAGACACUCAUUUUCACCACACACAAUUCCUUCCAUGUUAGAAAUGCUGCUGGCUCCUCCACACCCUGAGGUCAGGAGAGGUCAGCAGUGGAGCAUGUGCCUACAUGUGAUGGAAUAAGGUCCUAGAAUAAAGGCUGCCUGAGGUUUGUCCUGCUGGGCAGGUCAGUUUUCCUUUUUUGGGGUGGUAAACUUCAUAUGCAAUGAGACAGGAAAUUUCAGAGGGAAACUGGGAUAAUUAAAAUAAUCUUCUCUGGCCCAUUGCCAAUUCUUUCAUCUCAGAAAACAUUGCUGUAGAGACAGGCACAGAUCUUGUAAACUAGUCUAGUCUGAAUAGCUGUCCUUAACAUUUUUGAACAUUGAGCCUUAGUGAACAUCUAACACGCAAGGGCAUUUCUGUGGGGCAGUUUGAAUACUUUUGCUUUCAUAGUUUCAGGUUUUUUUUCUUUAUUGGUUGUUCCUUGAGAUUAAGGCUGGACUAAGUGGGUCUUCAGGUUAGUGUGGUAUUUCCAUAUGUAGAUUGCAUCACAAAACCACUCCAGAAAAAGAUAUUUUUAUGAGCAAGACUUGUAUAAAUUAUGGAGAAAAAUUUGCCUGGAAAGGCUGAAAUAGAGAUUUAAAUUCUGCACAAGCUGGAUAGAAUUAAAGCUACUCUUGUUUUUCAGUUUCUAAAUCUUGAAGCAAUAAUAUUUUCUCCUCCUGUGCUUAAUCUAGAGUGUUUGUAACAAACCACCUUGUCUGUAUGCCAGGAGAUUGCCACAGAGAGAAACAAAUUGCUGCUGAUGACAGAGGAAAAGCGUCUCCAGAAAGUCCCUUUCAGGCAGCUUGUCAUGAGAUGAUGUGAGGGACGUGGCAGUCUUACAUUGGAAGCAAGAGAAUUGAUUUGAGUUUGUUAUGGCACUGCAACUUGUUACAACAAGCAGUCUGCCCCCUGCAAGAGCAGAGCAAGAGGAGAGCAGGUCUGUGCACUUCUGCUGGGGUGGAAGUUCUCUGGCUUUCAGUGUUUGCACAGUGAAUUCAAUGUCAACAUACAUACAGACAGCAGAUCUCAGAGGAGUCCGAGGUAAGUAGCCUGGCUUUUUGAAGUUUCUAGAAAGAGCUGCAGAGUUAAGGGAUUUCUUCUGAGUUUUUGGCCUGUCAUGAACUGGCAGAUGACAUGGGAGGAGGUAGUCCCUGGUCAUUUGGCAGUGCCAAGAGCAAGCUUUGAACCAUGCAAACUUCUGUCAGGUUAGGAAACAUUCCCACUAGACAUUUCAGAGUCCUGGCCUCUUGGCUGCCACUGACAGUUUUGGGUGAUCUUUUUAUUUAUAUCUGGUCACUACUAUUGAGUUGUCUCAGUUCCUCUCUUAGGCUAGCCCAAGAGACUGAAAAAGUUCAAUGGGAAACAGAUUUUCUGAACAGUGCAAAACCAUACCCCAUGUGUUUUCUUUUGGCUCUCUAAAUGUGGAGGAUUCUUGAAGUCUCUACCACCAAAUAAGGGCCUGGAUCUUGACAAGCUAUUGAUUAGGUGACAGAAAAAACUAAUGACAACACUCAUGUGACUUGGGCUGAAUGGCAAAUACAAAAGUUGAGUGCAGUUAUUAGUUUUAAUAGACUAAGCCACAGGAUAGUAACAGUGUGAAGAUGGGGAAGAAGACUGGCCUGGCUGCAUAGGGAGCCUUUGGUGAACUCAGGGAAAAGAAAUAAUUUCUGACCUUUAGAAGAAGAGGCAGACAACUCAGGAAAAGUACAAGGAUGUCAUUAGGUCGUGUAGAGAGAAAAAUAGAAAGGUGAAAGCUCAGCUGCAACUCAAUCUGGCCUUCCCUGUGAAUGAUAAUAACAAAGUGUCUUACUAAUUUCAUUAAUAACAAAAGGAGGGCCUUGGAGGUCUUUUCCUACCUUAAUGAUUAUAGGAUUCUGUGAAAUACAUUUAUCCAUGAAACAUGAUACCCUAAUUUUUGUGAAGUACCUAAAUUCACCCUCAGUUAUAUUUUCCUGGUUGGAGUUGCUGGAGGACUGAAUUUCCUGGCUCUGACUUAGAGAAAUCUGUCACUUUGAGUAGGAAUGAAACUUGACUGAUUCAAUCUUAUCACAGUAUCACCAUAUAAAUGGAUCUUAUUUAUUUUUAAUUGAAAUGUCAACUUAAAAGAUGCAGUGCAUAUUUUUAAAUCACACUGACAUUAUAUUUAGAUAUUUUCAUUAAGUUCUGGGUAUGCAGUCCCAUUAAAAAUAGGGAGCUAAGUAUAAAACCAUGAAGUCUUAAUGCUUGCUUACUAAAUAUUCAGAGUGCAAGUGGGCACUGCUCUGGUAACACCUGUGAAUAGAGCUAUUCUGGUACAUUUAAAAAGUGUCACUGGCAUGAGUGACAGCCACCAAUGUAUUCAUAGUACUUCAGAACCCUGCGGAUGGAAGGAGCUUUCCUGCAACUAUUUAUCUUUACUUACAUUCCUGUUCCAUUUAAAAUGUUUUUCUCUGUUUCAGGAAAGAAAGGUCCAGUGAUUUUUAUUGUUAAAACAAGCACUGCCUCUAACUCUGCUGGAAUGCAACUGCACACUGUGUACUGGAAGUCUGGAUGCCAGGGAAGUGUUAAUCCCUGCAGUCGAGGAAUACCAGACGUGAUAUUUCGUUUGUCUAAAUUUGUUUUUCUGGUUCUAGCCCUGAGCAGGGCCUAGGCCAGGCUCACGUGGUAAAUUGUGGCAACUUGAGGCAGUGGGAGCACACUGUUAGAAACCUGCUGCUGUUCAUUGAUGCAGUCUAGCACCUAUGGCUCCAAAGUCCUCCUCACCCACGUGUGAGCACCUUAGUUAGGGCCUUGACCCUCCCACCUGGCUUCCUGGUAAAUCUCUUAAAAACCAAAUUCUUCGGCCUGGCGUGUGAAUGAACAUUCCAGGCUUAAAUAGCAGGGAAAGAAUCAAGAAAGUAUUUGAUGCUUUGUUGACCAGCCAGGAAGGAAGGCCUAUGUUUGGGUUUGGUCACUUUAGGCUGUGCUGCAAACGUUGGCAUGAAGGUCUAGGGGCUCAGUGAGAGAACAUUUUUCUCUUCUUUAUUUAAACAGGCACAUUCCCAGAAGAGUAACAAUCCAAAGUUUACACUUCCAGUGAAAUGCUGUCUGAGAAGUGCUGGAAAAAGAAAGCUACAGUGUGGGCAGGAAGAGAGAGAGACACCACAUCUUCUUGAGAGACACCAACUCUCUGUCAAAGCUUUUCUUUCAGCUAAGGAGUCAGCAGCAAAAGAGAAGCAGUGAAUUCCAACACCCAGCAACAUGCACAAGGUACUGAUAAAGGCCCUGAAAAUUAAUAUUCGCACCUCAGGAGAGUAGAAAUAACUGUUAAGAAGUUUUUUUCAGUUGAGUAGACUGCCCUAACACUGCCCUAACUGCAGGAAAAAGGCAGUCCACAUGUAUUUAAUGUUAAUAUUAAUAUAGAUGAGGAUAAUUCUUAUCUAAUGAACACCCAGAUUAUUUUCUUUUCUUGGUUAGUGUUUAAGUAGUCUAACUUCCUUUUAGGAUGUUGAGUAUCUUGUUCAGUGGAGUCAAUAGUACCUUUGCUUCUUGGAAAUUUGUCUGCUCUUAGGGUUUCCUUCUUUAAUGUCCUCCGUGCAUUUUAAUUGUUCCAAUAAUCUCUGGUUAAAAAAACAGGUUUUUCUAAAAUGCUGAUAAAAUGAGUACACAAUAUUUUUACAAUUAAAAAGAACUUAUUUUCGUGACAA